This 2885-nucleotide long non-coding RNA is filed under the name Mytilus galloprovincialis (Mediterranean mussel). The record is from RNAcentral. Lineage: Eukaryota; Metazoa; Mollusca; Bivalvia; Mytilida; Mytilidae.
UAACACUGUAAGUUAUAGUCUUGUUUUAGUUUUAAUUGUUUCUCAAAAAAAAUCUACAGUUUUAUUUCAAUAUCUUUGAUCACUGAAUUUUUGUUUUACUAAAAAAAAACAAUAAAAAAAAAAUGACACAUGUAUUUGUAAAUUUGAUUGAAAUUUUGAUUCAUUUAAAACUUUUUUAUACAGAAGAAAAUCAUGGAUAUAUUUUGACAGGAUUGGACAUAUUUUAAGAUAAUGACACAUUUUUUGGAGUGUUACAUACAUUUGAUGAACACAAUUUUAAUGGCAAUGUUUAUGUUAAAAUAUUUCUCAAUAGAAAUGUAUGUGUGGUAUGUUUAUUAAAAUACAUAUAUAAUAUAUAUGUAAGAGCUUUGUACAAACAAUACAAUUACGUGUUUUUGUUUUAACUACCUCGAUAUAAUAUGUCAUCCUAUGUAUAUUCCAUGCUAUUCAUUGGUGUGUCGUUCUUACACACGUUAUACAUAAUAUUCAUCCGUGUGUUGUUCUUGGACACUUUAUUUUAGACAAUUUAUACAUACUAUUAGUUUAUCUGUUUAUUUUGUUAGAACUUUACCACUCACACAUUGUAAUUAGUCAACAUAAAAUGUUGUUGUAUAUAUGUAUAUAAGUCAUAAAUUCAUUAUUUAUAUAACAGCAUUACAGAUAUUGAGAUAAGUUGAAAGUAAGGUUGAAUUUUUAAUGUUUUCUAAAAAAAUGUUGGUUUACAGAUGCCUGACUGUUAUAAGAUCAGAUUUUUCCUUUAUUAGAAUAUAAUGAGUUAAAUUUAAACCAUGCUGUUAUGAGAUAUACCUUAAAUCAAUGCAAAUGGUAAAUUUAUCUGUAUCUUUGGUUAAAAUUGAUCAUCUCCUAAAACCGAUAUUAGAAUGAUAAUUCAAUUUUGCAUCCUACAGAUAAGAAUCUUAAAGUUCUUUAUCAGUUAUUCACGAUAAUAAAAAAAAUAUGAGAUUGAUUAAUUUAAUUUUCAAACAAUAAUACCAUUAUAUCAGAUUUUAAAUUUAAAAAAAUGUUUUACUGUUUAAUAUAAUUAUGAAAUGAUAUUGGGUAAAAGUGAUGUUCACAGUACAGUAUCUUGUUACUCUUAUCAUUCUUGGCAAAAUAAUUUGGAAACAAAGAGUUUUUUGCCAGUGGACAGUGGUCAUUUAACACAAAAUGAAUCUGUUUCUUCAAAAUCCAUUAAAUAUUCGAUUUCUGAAGUUGAUAUUUAAUAGAUUUAGUAUUUAUGUUUGACUACUUAUGUUGUCUUAAUUUCCUAUGAAAUAAAUCAGAGAGAGUGAUUUUACAAGUUUAUUGUAUUCAGAUUUGAAAAUAAGCCCAUACAUUUAUGUUUUUGGAACAAAUUUUAUGAAAUAAUCUUUAGAGUUAUGAAAUAUAUUAUGUUAAAUAGCCUCUGGAAUAAGAUAUAACAAUUAUUUUACCAUUUUACCUUUGUACAGACUGAUGACUAUUCUAUUUUAGGAUAAUUUAGAUUUGGGUGCUCUCUGACACCUAUGUAGAUAUGUUAAAUAACUUGAUAGUAUUUGUGUAUGAAAGAUACAGACUGUAUUAUAAAUAAAUAGUAAGGAGUAUCCUAAAUAGGUUUACCUUCUACUUCAAUUACAUAAAUGAAAUAAAAUUGAUGAGAUCAAAAUAUAUAUUUACCCCAGGUCUUCCUAUAGAAAAAUGUAUACUUCCAGUGUUAAACAUUAUGGUUGUUUUAUCAAUGGCAAAAAUGGUGAAUGAGAUUUCUCUCAUUAUUUUAAGAGGAGUUCACUUCAAAAACAAUGUUUUCAUUGUAAAUAAAUGCCUUUAUAUAUGUUUAUUAAUUAGCAAUAUGUGAUCUAAGUUCCUGAAGGUUUGCAAAUACUUUAAGGUUUUUGUUAAGAAUUUAUUAGUUUUUGUUUUAUUAUUUUAUGCUCUUCAAAGUCCAAAGGAUAAAGGCCACAACUUAUAUAUCACAGCUGAAAAUUGAUGUCAUAGUUAAGGUUUUAUUUUAAGUUGAUUUAGUUCAAAAUAUUACCAUUGUUUUUGGUGUUUAAAAGUUGAUUUUAAGCGUAAAGUUUACAUUUUUAAUGCAUUUUGUAUUUUGUGUUGGAAUACACAGUCUGAAAAUAAGUGGAUGUACAGGUUGUUUUAUAUCUCAAAUUCAGAUAAUAUAACAUUAAGAUGACUUUGAUCCAAAUUGAAGCCAAGAAGCAUGAUAAUUAUAUUUAUUUCCUUUGUCUAUAUUGGCACGGUGUAGAAAUGAAUUAAAUAAUAAAAAGGAAGUUUCAUGUUUGAUCCUUCUUUAUAACCUUUGAAAGUAUGUUUUUACUAUAAUAAAACUAGUAUUUGUAAAAUUGCAGACAAUUCGAAGAGUUUUCCUGAAAUAUUCAUUUUGUUAACAGAAAAUUUUACUUUUAUUAACACCAUUAAGGAUCUAUAGUUGAGAUACUCAAUUCAAUUAUAAAAGAACAUGUUUUUUUAAAAGGAGAAUUAUUUUAGUGUAACAACCAAAUCUGUACAUUGGAAAUUCUGCAGUGCCUGAAUGGUGAAAUUUUUACUUUUCCACUCUGACAUAAUAAAGGAGGUUAUCUCCCUUUUAUCGUUCUUAAAGAAGUUAUUAUCUCCCUUUGUUAUGUUAGAUUUCAGCAAACCAAGUCUUAGCAUAUUUAUUCACCUGUUUAUGAAAACGUUUAUUGUUAGUGAUGGUAAUGUUAGAUGUUCAUUACUGGUAAUGGACUUUGGUUAAUAUAUUAUUGUGUCAAACAUUUAAGUCAUAUAAAGGUUGUAGCAUUACAAAGUUAGUAAUUCAUUUUUUUUUUCAAAAUAGUUUGUGGAACAAACAUAACCUAUUGUCAUCCUUUACAAUGAAUUGUCAUUGGAAUUUUAUAAUAAAAUAUGUCAAGAAA